UCCGGUUGAUCCUGCCGGAGGCUACCGCUAUUGGAGUUCGAUUAAGCCAUGCGAGUCGCGAGAAAUUAGAUUCUCGGCGUACCGCUCAGUAACACGUGGGUAACCUGCCCUAUGCUGGAUAAUAACCUCGGGAAACUGAGAAUAAUGAUCCAUAGUUCACUACGCCUGGAACGGUGAGUGGAUGAAAGCUCCGGCGGCAUAGGAUGGGCCUGCGGCGUAUCAGGUUGUAGGGGGUGUAACGUACCCUCUAGCCCUCUACGCGUACGGGUGUUGGGAGACAUAGCCCGGAGAUGGAUUCUGAGACACGAAUCCAGACCCUACGGGGUGCAGCAGGCGCGAAAACUUGGCAAUGCGAGAAAUCGUGACCAGGGAACUCCAAGUGCAUCGGGUAAGACCGGUGCUUUUCUUGACUCUAAAUAGGUCUUGGAAUAAGGGGUGGGUAAGGACGGUGCCAGCCGCCGCGGUAAUACCGGCGCCUCAAGUGGUAGUCGCUUUUAUUGGGCCUAAAACGUCCGUAGCCGGUCUGAUACAUUCGUGGGUAAAUCAACCAGCUCAACUGGUUGAAUUCUGCGAGGACGGUCAGACUUGGGACCGGGAGAGGUGUGGGGUACGCUCAGGGUAGGGGUAAAAUCCUGUCAUCCUGAGCGGACCACCUGUUGCGAAGGCGCCACACUAGAACGGAUCCGACGGUCAGGGACGAAGCCUAGGGGCACGAACCGGAUUAGAUACCCGGGUAGUCCUAGGUGUAAACGCUGUGGACUUGAU
This 765-nucleotide ribosomal RNA is filed under the name uncultured Candidatus Poseidoniales archaeon. RNAcentral describes it as "bacterial SSU rRNA". It matches the Rfam family "Archaeal small subunit ribosomal RNA", at positions 1 to 772 of the family's 1478-position model. Lineage: Archaea; Methanobacteriati; Thermoplasmatota; Candidatus Poseidoniia; Candidatus Poseidoniales. The record is from RNAcentral.